This 79-nucleotide ribosomal RNA is filed under the name Vibrio cholerae. RNAcentral also lists the same sequence under 5 other names. The record is from RNAcentral. Lineage: Bacteria; Pseudomonadati; Pseudomonadota; Gammaproteobacteria; Vibrionales; Vibrionaceae.
UCCCGAACUCAGAAGUGAAACGAAACAGCGUCGAUGGUAGUGUGGGGUCUCCCCAUGUGAGAGUAGAACAUCGCCAGGC